This 400-nucleotide ribosomal RNA is filed under the name uncultured bacterium. RNAcentral describes it as "partial 16S ribosomal RNA". It matches the Rfam family "Bacterial small subunit ribosomal RNA", at positions 360 to 776 of the family's 1533-position model. The record is from RNAcentral.
AAUAUUGCACAAUGGGGGAAACCUUGAUGCAGCAACUCCGCGAGAAGGAUUAAGGUUUUCGGAUUGGAAACUCCUUUAGUCGGGGACGAAUAAUGACGGUCACCGAAGAAUAACCCAAGGAGAACUACGUGCCAUCAGCCGCGGUAAUACGUAGGUGGCGAGCGUUGUCCGGAAUUACUGGGUGUAAAGGGCGUGUAGACGGGUAUGCAAGUCAGAUGUGAAAUUCCAGGGCUCAACCCUGGCGCUGCAUCUGAAACUGUAUAUCUUGAGUGCUGGAGAGGAAAGCGGAAUUCCUAGUGUAGCGGUGAAAUGCGUAGAUAUUAGGAGGAACACCAGUGGCGAAGGCGGCUUUCUGGACUGUAACUGACACUGAGGCAUGAAAGCGUGGGUAGCAAACAGG